Molecule: non-coding RNA, 126 nt
Organism: Myotis brandtii (Brandt's bat)
Lineage: Eukaryota; Metazoa; Chordata; Mammalia; Chiroptera; Vespertilionidae
Source: Rfam
UGUGCACCAGUGGGGUCCCUCAGCCUGGCCUGUGCCCUCUCGCAAUUUGGGACCCCUUGGGGGAUGUUGGAGAGCCAGUUUCGGACCAAUCCUGUAGGCCAGGCUGAGGGACCCCACUGGUGCACA